CGCACGCAGCUGCACUCACCGAAUUAGCCUGACCGCUUCUCCCAAGCACAUAGCUUCUCCCAACCACCAAACCCGUCUUACAAUACAUCGCGAAAUCCUCACAAUUAUUCUCGAACACAUGAUACUCACCAAACCCAUUUCUCAACAAAAGAAACUCCGCGCGAGAGAUCACUUCCUCCGAAGGAUCCGAAGCCGCCGUCGUGCAGGUACCUCCUCUUAGCUUGGACAUGAACAGAGCCGGAGAGACGCUGUACUCGAAGCGAAGGAGGUCUCUUCCGGCGAGAAAGCAAUCGAGACAAGAAGAGAUAACUCCAUGCGUGUUGGAAUGCUUUCCUCCACAGUUAGGACAAGGGUUGUCUCCUCCGUGAUUGGUAAUAGAGCUGACAAUGAGCUUGUCUAGAAAAGUUCCCGUUCCGAUUUCAAGACCGCCUCCACGUGUGAAAUGAAUGACCUUUCCGUCUCCUAUGUAGAUUCCUGUGAGAUUGCAAAUAUAAAGUUCGGAUCUUUGAUAAACCCAGAAGAGAGAUGGAGAGAUAGAGAAGAGGAGGAGAUGGGUUACCGUGAUGGGAAUAGAUAUAAGCGUUACGCCAUGAGUAGAUGUGAUCUCCUGGUUUCAGAUCGUCUUUAGAGAUCUUGUUGGAGAAUAAUCCUAUCUUCUCUAGAAGAAUGGAUUCCAUCUCUGGCUGGAUCAAUGUGGGUUCUCUAGAGAACUUUUUUCUAAGAUUGUUGGUUUUAAUAACCAAACCAUUAAAGUCAACUGGCUUUGUAUUGGCUUAGCUGCAUAACCCAAAGUCAACGAAUUAACGUAUCCCCGAAGAACUUUUAAAAACAUAUAAAUUUAUAUUUAAUAAAUUAACAUAAAUUUUAAUUUAGGCUAGUGUAAAAUAUAACAUAGUUCGAUUAAAUAAUAAAAUAAUAAAUUUUUGAAAAAAUUAGAAAAAUAUAUUGGAGUUGUUCACUAAAUUGCAAAUUAAUAAUCUCUCCGUUUCGUAAUACUUGAUGUUUUGUAUUAGUGCACAAAGAUUAAGAAAAUUAACUUUUUGUAAAAAAAAAUAUUUUAAAAAAUAUAAUUUUAAAAUCAAUGAACCAAUUACUAAAAAAACUUUAAAAUCUAAUUGGUUGAACAAUUUUCAAUAAAGUUAAAUUAAUCUUAAAAUUUCAAAACUUCAUGUAAAUUAUUACAAAAUAAUUUUUUUAAAACAUCAUCUAUAUUGAAACGGAGGGAGUAAUUGAUAUAUACAAAAUUUGUAUAAAGUUAUAUAAACAUAAUUUUUCUUUUAGAAUGAUCUAUAAGAAAAUUUAAAUAUUAUUUUAUCGAAUUACAUUUAAAAGUGCAUUAACUUUCUUCAGAAAAUGCAUCCAAAAAUGAAUUACAUCUAGGUGACUUAUUGAUAACUCAGAAAAAGCCUUUGUUUAUAUUCAGCUACAUAUACACACAAGGUGUUGAAGAAGAUAAAGAGACAAAAGCAUGUUGCACUCUCGUCUGAUUGAAAUGGGUUAUGAUCAGAAAACCUUCUUGUGUGGAGAGCUUUGUUUGGUUAUUGUCUUAUUGAUGAUGACUAGUACUGUAACACUAAAUUCCAAAUCAACCAACGGAGCCACACUAACGGUAGGUAAGUGAUCAAACACCAUUCAUCUUCCACUUCUGUGUGUUGUUUUUUGGUUUUUCAAGUUUUUUCAUUUAAUGACAUGUCAUUCUCAUAUGACUCUAAACAACUGAUGUGUCAAGUGCUGGAGAGAACCUUGCUGUAUUAUUGUGUUGAUUCCACCUCCGAAUUGUGUAGAAGGCAUUCGAGUGAUGGGCCAAAUCAUUGGGCCUAAACAAAAUUACUAAAAUAUAUAUAAUCUUCGUCCGUCUCUCUGUUAGACCAAAAUCGCUUAUAGGAGAGAGGGUAGAAGAGACGAGAAAGAUAAAUGAGGCCGAUGCAACUGGAUAUGUUGGCGGAGAUGGAUGAUGCAGGUUCUUCGAUGGCCAUGGACGUAGAUGACAUCGAAGCCAUGGAGAUGCUCAGCGAAGGAGGACUUAUCUCUGAGAACAAGCUCGCCGACGCCGAUUUCUUCAACAAGUUCGACGACGAUUUCGACGACUCCGAUAUCAACUGAUCUUCUUUAGCUCUCUAUUGUUUCAGAUUUCCCCUUUGUUUGGUUGAGUUUUUUUAUGUAAUUUCUGGAAGAAUCUAUAUUCCCCCGUUGAUUAGGGAUUCUGUGUUUGCGAAUCGAAGUUCCUAUCUGAACAUUAAGUAUGAUCUCUACAUGUCUUGUGGGUUUUGCUUACUAUCCUCUUGGAACAGAUUUAACAUUUGGGUACCUUAAUUGUUUUGCCUUUGUUUCUUUCUGGAGUUGGAAUCUGUUUUUGUUUUCUUGCUAAUUUAGCUUCAACCUAAUCUCUUAAGGUGUUUCUCGUUGUAUCUGAGAUGUGCAUAGACAUAAACUUCGUUUAUUAGACACAGAAGAGAUGUUAGAAGCGCCGCGAGACCAAGAAAUGAUUCUUUCCUCUUGUGUGAGGUUUUUCACUUUACUCUCUUUCCGGUUCACUACAAACCACGACUCUUGCCUCUUGGUUUGCAUUUGAUUUUUUCGGUUUUUGGUUUUAAAAGGUUUAAUUCGGGUAGAGAACAUCCAGUUCAGUUUUGUUUGGUUUGGUUAAGUGUUGGAAAGGUUGAUCUACCUUUUUGAGUUUAGUGAUUAGAUACAACUAAAAUUUUCUAUAUUGUUUCGUACUGAUUAGAUAAUGAUUAUUGAGCAUAAACAAACUUGAUAUUUAAAAGAGAUUAAUAUCCAAUAUUUAAAACAGAGAGAUUAAUAUCCAAGUUCUAAAGUUGUGGAAUAUAAAAUAUAUAUAUAUAUAUCCAACUCAUUAAUAUGAAUACCCACAUUCCAUUUCAUCCCCAAAAAUAUGAAUACCAACGAGCUCCACAAAGUGUGAAAUAGCACGCCUUCCCAGUGGAAUAUUGAGAAAACCACAUUGCCUCCACAGCAGCACGCUAUACUGAAGUUGAACGUAGUGGAUUUCACGCUUAGUCCCUCUGCCAGUAAGAGCUUCACAUGGUUAGAAGACCAAGUAGAGUUAACUUCCUCCAAAGUUGGACAGUGAAAUCCAUGUUACAAUAAAGCAUAAGCUCAGUGGACCAAGAAAAAAAAAACAAUUGAACAAGCCAAACAUGAAAGGAAGGAAAAAAGAACUAAUCGUAGACUGCCCUGGAUGUACAAACAAAUAAGGAUAGGAGGGAAGUCCUAUAGCAAGAGGAGAAUGUAUCAGUUGAUCCAAAAGUGCCUCUUCAAAAUGGACAUGAGAUGAAUAUUCAGUAGGAACACUCAUAUGAACAAGCAUCUCUGUCACAGCAAACAGAGGUGGAUCCUGUAAAAAAAAUAUAAGAACAUUCCUAUCACACCAGAUAGAAGUGGAUCCUAUUAAAAAUAUAUAAGAACAUAAACACAAUGAAUAAAAUCGGUAAGUUACCGGAGCAGAACUUUGAACAGUCCAUCUUGCAAGGCAUCUGCUACCAUUUCAAGCAAAGGUAUAGCUCAAGAAUCCAUAAAAAUACCUGUGACAUUGACUUUCGUGCAGAGAGUGCUAAAACUGAAUGAGUAACCAACAGCGGUAAAUAGGAGCUCAAUUCUGCAGUGAAAGAAAAACAUGGAAUGAAGGAAAAACAACUAACCGUAGACUGUUCUUCUGGUUAUUCAUACAAAGAAGGAUACGAGGGAAGUCAUAUAGCAAUAGGAGAGUGAAUCAAAUGAUCCAUAAGUGUCUCUUCGAAUUGGGCAUGAGAUGAGUAUUCACUGGGAUAAUUGAUAUGCACAAUCACUGCACAUGAUUCUGUCACGGCAAUGUCUUGGCUAUUACAAUACUCAUCUCUUGCCAAAUUUGAACAAUCACUAGGAAGAGGCGAAAACUUACUUUUCUCUAAAACGGCUAACAUGUAUAAAAUGAAUCAAUAUUGUAUGAAUUGAUACAUGUUCCAGUAUUAUAAUAUUUUAUGUAUAUGUUUUCACGUGAAUAAGAUGAAAAUCAUGGUAUUAUGUAUUACAUGAAAGUGUAUUAUGACCCACUGUUAAAUGAUCACAAUAUUAUUAGAUGUGGUUUCCUUUUUGGUACUUAUGAUGUUGUGCAGAAAAUAUUAAGCGAAAAUUAUGGUGGGUUUAAUGUAUUGAUUUAACCGUAAAAACAAAAAAAUUGAAUGACCAAUUUCAACGAUAUACUUAUGAUGUUGUGCAGAAAAUAUUAAGCGAAAAUUAUGGUGGGUUUAAUGUAUUGAUUUAACCGUAAAAACAAAAAAAUUGAAUGACCAAUUUCGACGAUUAUAAAUAUAUCAUCAUACAACAAAAAAAAAUACUACAUAUUAUUUGUUUUUUAGAUGAUGCAUUCCAUGAUUUCAAAACACUAUUUUGAUACUAAGUAUUAAAAUAUAAAGUUUUGAAAAAAUUGGUUGGCCAACAUAAUUCUCCUUCCUCUUGUCUCUAGAUCUUCUUAUCGAAUCCAAAUAACUUUAACACUAGACCCUGAUCCGCGCGCCAGCGCUGGUAUGAAUUUUCAGUUUUUAAUUAUUUAUUUUAUUAAAUAAUGUAUUUGUAAUAUUCGUUCAUAUUAUAUUCAUUAAGUAAAUAUUUUAUUUUUGCAUCUUAAACUAUCUAUUUUUUUACGAAUGUGUGAUAUCAUAUAAAAAAAUAUAAAAAAAUGAGUAUAUAGAGUUAAUUAGAUAAUUGUAAAAACAGAAAUAUUUCUUUCGUGUGCGAUAUCAUAUAAAUAAUGAUCCGUCCAGUUAACAAAAAUCAUGAUUUUUUUAUGUGUAAUUUUUUUUAUUUUGACAAUUUCUUUAAAACUAUAUUAAAUUUUACAUAUUUUAAUUAGAAUAUUUUUAAUAUCUUUACCUUUUUAUUUGAAAUGCAACUCAAUAUUUUUUAAAAAAUUAUAACAAAAUAUUUAAAAAAUAUUUUUAGAAUUUGUUUGAAAAAUAUGAAAAUUACAUUUUAAAUUAAAAUCAUCCUAAACUAUGAUAAGUUUUGAUGUAAACGAAAACUCAAAUUAUGUCAAAAAUAAUUAUAUUCAAUGAUAAUAACAAUUUAAAUUAAUUAUUUUUAAAAAAUACAUUUACAUUGCCUGAACCUACUAGUCAUCAUGGCUUACAGUUCCAACUCUUAUGGUCUUGUGAAUUGAACAGUUGGCGUGGUGUUCUUGGCCACUAUAAUAAACUUUAAUUAGUCAUCACGGCUUACAGUUCCAACUCUUAUGGUCUUGCGAAUUGAACAGUUUAACCAACCAGUAAUCAACUUAAAUUUAAUUUAGAAACCGUGUUCUUCUUGAUUACGCAAAAAUAAGACAAUCUCAAGCGUGGUUAUAACGAGUAAAGAAUCAACCACAUCUCUUUCUUUACGCGUUUACUUUUUUACACAACACAAACAAUGAAGAUCUCAAUUAAACUGUAUUCACACAUCAUUAUCAACCACAUCUCUUUCUUUACGCGUUUACGUUUUUACACAACACAAACAAUGAAGACCUCAAUUAAACUGUAUUCACACAUCAUACAAUAGAGUUACACAAUUCAAAGAAUUUAGAAGCAGAUUCAAUCUGGCAUUAACCAACAAUCAAAUACACACAUUGCACACAAUCAGAACCAAACCAAACUCAGCUCUCCUUUGCCAAUGUAUCAGCCUGAUUAAACCGAGCAACGAGGCUCUCCACAGGCACUUUAACAGCAUCACUCCUCAUACCAACAUCCGAACACAGACGUAUAGCAUUACUAGCCCAAGGACUAACCAUACGCGCAACACACGCAGCCGCACUCACCGAGUUAGCCUGGCCGCUUCUCCCAAGCACAUAGCUUCUCCCCACCACCAAACCCGUCUUACAGUACAUCGCAAAAUCCUCACAGUUAUUCUCGAACACAUGGUACUCACCAAACCCAUUUCUCAGCAAAAGAAACUCCGCACGAGAGAUCACUUCCUCCGAAGGAUCCGAAGCCGCCGUCGUGCAGGUACCGCCUCGGAGCUUGGACAUGAACAGAGCCGGAGAGACACUGUACUCGAAGCGAAGGAGAUCUCCUCCGGAGAGAAAGCAAUCGAGACAAGAAGAGAUAACUCCAUGCGUGUUGGAUUGCUUUCCUCCACAGUUAGGACAAGGGUUGUCUCCUCCGUGAUUGGUAAUAGAGCUGACGAUGAG
Molecule: long non-coding RNA, 6160 nt
Filed under: Brassica napus (rape)
Lineage: Eukaryota; Viridiplantae; Streptophyta; Magnoliopsida; Brassicales; Brassicaceae
Description: long non-coding RNA (BNAP_LNC012737)
Source: RNAcentral